UGUGCUGUUACAAACCUCAAUUCUAGCUUGAAGCAAGCAUAAUGUGUUUAAUAUAUGCAUACUCUCUUCGAUAAAAAACAGGAUUCUAUAUAGAACCUUUUAGUCAAUUCAACAUUUUACUGUCAUUCUGAUUCAAAAACCAACUGCCAUUCCAGCAUGACAAAGCAAGAGGACGGUGGUUGAACCAACUUGCAAGUAGCUAACCAAUGAGCACAUUAUUUUUCAAUCUAUUAAGCAUUUCAGUGCGGAGUCAAUUGAAGGGACUAUGUUUUUUGAAGCCGUUAGAAAACUGUUGCUGACUGAGAGGAGUAACCCAGAACUGUCAGGCAAAGAAUCUCUCUUUCGGCUGUUGCUGACAAC
This is a long non-coding RNA of Salvelinus namaycush (lake trout), 360 nucleotides long. RefSeq lists it as uncharacterized. The transcript has 3 exons. The record is from RefSeq and is a predicted model, not a curated record. NCBI's taxonomy places the organism in Eukaryota, Metazoa, Chordata, Actinopteri, Salmoniformes, Salmonidae.